UGGGGAAUAUUGCACAAUGGGCGAAAGCCUGAUGCAGCAACGCCGCGUGAGGGACGACGGCCUUCGGGUUGUAAACCUCUUUUAGCAAGGAAGAAGCGAAAGUGACGGUACCUGCAGAAAAAGCGCCGGCUAACUACGUGCCAGCAGCCGCGGUAAUACGUAGGGCGCAAGCGUUAUCCGGAAUUAUUGGGCGUAAAGAGCUCGUAGGCGGUUUGUCGCGUCUGCUGUGAAAACCCGAGGCUCAACCUCGGGCCUGCAGUGGGUACGGGCAGACUAGAGUGCGGUAGGGGAGAUUGGAACUCCUGGUGUAGCGGUGGAAUGCGCAGAUAUCAGGAAGAACACCGAUGGCGAAGGCAGAUCUCUGGGCCGUAACUGACGCUGAGGAGCGAAAGGGUGGGGAGCAAACAGGCUUAGAAUGACCCUGGUAGUCCACCCCGUAAACGUU
This 445-nucleotide ribosomal RNA is filed under the name uncultured bacterium. Its description in RNAcentral is "partial 16S ribosomal RNA". It matches the Rfam family "Bacterial small subunit ribosomal RNA", at positions 355 to 810 of the family's 1533-position model. The record is from RNAcentral.